This 464-nucleotide ribosomal RNA is filed under the name Vreelandella stevensii. RNAcentral's name for it is "partial 16S ribosomal RNA". It matches the Rfam family "Bacterial small subunit ribosomal RNA", at positions 338 to 794 of the family's 1533-position model. The record is from RNAcentral. Lineage: Bacteria; Pseudomonadati; Pseudomonadota; Gammaproteobacteria; Oceanospirillales; Halomonadaceae.
CCUACGGGGCGCUGCAGUGGGGAAUAUUGGACAAUGGGCGAAAGCCUGAUCCAGCCAUGCCGCGUGUGUGAAGAAGGCCUUCGGGUUGUAAAGCACUUUCAGUGGGGAAGAAAGCCUUGGGGCUAAUACCCUCGAGGAAGGACAUCACCCACAGAAGAAGCACCGGCUAACUCCGUGCCAGCAGCCGCGGUAAUACGGAGGGUGCGAGCGUUAAUCGGAAUUACUGGGCGUAAAGCGCGCGUAGGCGGUCUGAUAAGCCGGUUGUGAAAGCCCCGGGCUCAACCUGGGAACGGCAUCCGGAACUGUCAGGCUAGAGUGCAGGAGAGGAAGGUAGAAUUCCCGGUGUAGCGGUGAAAUGCGUAGAGAUCGGGAGGAAUACCAGUGGCGAAGGCGGCCUUCUGGACUGACACUGACGCUGAGGUGCGAAAGCGUGGGUAGCAAACAGGAUUAGAUACCCGAGUAGC